UCGCCUCUUCAAAAAACCCCCCUCGAUAAUAUGCUGAAAUCAUGAUACUGUGAGAAUAGCCAUCAGAUUUAACACCUUUUUCCUUCAUUUCAUCAAAAAUUGAUCUUGCUUCUUCAUUUAUAUUCCCAGCCUUGGCAAGACCAUCCAUCAACAAACAGUAGGGCAUCUCAUCUUCUGCAUAGCCCAAAGCUUCUAGUUCAAGUAAAAGCUCUCUGGAUUUUUCAAAC
This 227-nucleotide unclassified non-coding RNA is filed under the name Hevea brasiliensis (rubber tree). The record is from RNAcentral. Lineage: Eukaryota; Viridiplantae; Streptophyta; Magnoliopsida; Malpighiales; Euphorbiaceae.